CUUCUUAGAGGGACUAUCGGUGUUUAMCCGAUGGAAGUUUGAGGCAAUAACAGGUCUGUGAUGCCCUUAGAUGUUCUGGGCCCGCACGCGGCGCUACACUGAUGAAGUCAACGAGUUCACAUCCUUUAUCGGAAGAUAUGGGUAAUCUUUUGAAACUUUCAUCGUGCUGGGGAUAGAGCAUUGCAAUUAUUGCUCUUCAACGAGGAAUCCCUAGUAAGCACAAGUCAUCAGCUUGUGCUGAUUACGUCCCUGCCCUUUGUACACACCGCCCGUCGCUACUACCGAUUGAAUGGCUUAGUGAGGC
Molecule: ribosomal RNA, 304 nt
Filed under: uncultured Glomeromycotina
Lineage: Eukaryota; Fungi; Glomeromycota
Description: SSU rRNA
Rfam family: Eukaryotic small subunit ribosomal RNA
Source: RNAcentral